Molecule: ribosomal RNA, 393 nt
Filed under: uncultured bacterium
Lineage: Bacteria
Description: partial 16S ribosomal RNA
Rfam family: Bacterial small subunit ribosomal RNA
Source: RNAcentral
CUACGGAGGAUCCGAGCGUUAUCCGGAUUUAUUGGGUUUAAAGGGUGCGCAGGCGGGAGAUUAAGUCGGCGGUGAAAUUUUGCAGCUCAACUGUAAAAGUGCCUUCGAAACUGGUUUCCUUGAGUGUAGAUGAAGUAGGCGGAAUUUGUGGUGUAGCGGUGAAAUGCAUAGAUAUCACGAGGAACUCCGAUUGCGCAGGCAGCUUACUAAACUACUACUGACGCUCAGGCACGAAGGCGUGGGGAUCAAACAGGAUUAGAUACCCUGGUAGUCCACGCUGUAAACUAUGAUAACUAUCUUUUAGCGAUACACAGUUAGAGGGUACGAGAAAUCAUUAAGUUAUCCACCUGGGGAUUACGUUCGCAAGAAUGAAACUCAAAGGAAUUGACGGGG